AAUAAUUAUUAAAUUUUUUGUUCAGAGAGAGAGAGAGAGCUAAUGCCUCUAGAAACAACCAGAAAUCUCUGAUUAGGGCAAAGUGUCACCUCUGCUCUCUUACUGCUUGGGAAGAUUCUCGCUUUCGACCUGCUGACUCAGAAAUUCUGACUUUCCCGGGAAAAUUUUGUGAUUUUCUGAGAAAAUUUUACUAUUUUCUUGGUUAAAACUUUCGGAUUUCAGGAAACAUAGUUGGGGGCACGCAUUCUACAAUGACUAUGAUUCAAGAAAUUAUUUGUAUCUUCAGUGGCGGGUAAAAGUUUGUGAGGAAUGUCAGACUUGUGCAUGUAUGAGCUUGAAGAUAAUGUGUGGGAUGAAUUCAGUGAGAGUGAUGACCAUAUAGUACCUCAUCCCACUGACGACUGUGGGGAUCAGUUUAGAGUUCAUGGUGAUGAUCAUAAGAAACCAAGACGCGAAAUAAUAGGGGUUGCAAGUAAUAUUGGUGAUGCUACUAAGUACAUUCAGAAAAAGGAGGAAGCUAACUUGCAUAUGCUGACUAAGAAAGAUAGGAUGCUAGAUAAGGCUUCAUGGUCUCACACACCUGAUGGUGUAUUUCCUGGUUCCUGUGAUAGUGGCUCAGUCAAAGAAGUUGCAAGUAUAGCAUCUGAAGCAACAAGGGCAUCUAAUCAGAGUUCAAAAACUGGGAACAGCAGUUCAGUUGGUGGUGAAUUUGCUGAUGAUGAUCCUAUCUUUGCGGAAAAGAGUACUGCAGAUGAUAAUGACACGUACCGAUUUCCACUAAGUCACAUAUCUCAGACAAACAAUGAUCUAAACUUUUUUGAUAAUGAUCAUGAAGUCAAAGAAAGCAGCGAUCUAUUAUAUUAUGGGUGGCCUGAUGACAUAGGGAAUUUUGAGGAUGUUGACAGGAUGUUCAGAAGCUGUGAUUCGACAUUUGGGUUGGAGAGUCUCACUAAUGAGGAUGACUUGUGCUGGUUUUCAUCAUCUCGCUCUACUGAAGGGUCUGAAGAUGCAUCAAAGUUGGUUUCUAGGUUUUCAAGUUCUGAGGCAAGUGCAUUGGAUUGCAUAUCAGAACAUCAUGAAGCUUCUAGGCUAAACAAUGCUGGUCCUUCAGUCAAUGUUUCCAAUAAGAAAAGUCUAUUAAUGGGUGACAAAACAAGUUCCAAUAAUGCUGGUGCUUCUGACCAUUCUGGUUUUGCUCAUUAUCAAUUUUCAAAUGGAUCAGAUGCAAGAUCUGUAAGGACAGACAACUCGAUGCUAAAGGAACAGAUCAGUUCCCAUAAAAGUCAUGGAAGGCACCGAAAUUACUCAGAGGGAAAGAGAAAAGAACGAAACCUAGACAGUGAUGGUUCUUUCCAUCAUAAUGGCAACUUCAAGCAAGUUGCAGAUGCCAAAUGUUCUUUUGGGGACCCGUCUCCUCAAUCUUUUUCUUCUCCACAUCCUCAACAUCGUAAACCAGAUUUAAGAUCAGAUUCUUUGGAUUACAUGCAGACAAAUAUUCCAUAUAUGAAUAUAAACUAUGGUCAUUCUUCAGAUCAAACUUCAGUCUGUCCAAGUCAAUCCGGGAUAAAGUCUGAAAGCAAUGGACUCCCUUCUCCUUCUCCAAAGGACUCUUCAUUUGCAUCAAAUCAACUGCAGUCCAUAGAGAGUUCUCAUGGACCCUCAUUAGACACUCCUGCUAUAAUAAAUGAGAAGAGGGAGAGACUAUAUCUUUGCCAGGAUUUGCAAGCCCAGUAUGCAAGGAAUUUUAAAUGUGCAAAUAUUGCAAGUCCAACAGCACUUUAUGAUUCAGUUCAGAAUCAAAACCGUCAAUCUGAUUAUGAGGUUGAAUGUCAUAGUGAGAUUGAGGAGGUCAGCAUAAGGAUUCCAGCAGAACUAGAUUCAAAUGCACAGGAGAGCUCCUGCAUGAGCUCUGCAUUAGAUGAGAUCUCGCUAGAAGCAACUAGUUUUCGCCAACUUCAGCAAGUCAUGGAACAGUUGGAUAUUAGGACAAAAUUGUGCAUAAGAGAUAGUCUGUAUCGUUUGGCUAGGAGUGCUGAACAAAGGCAUAACUGUGGGAAUGCAAAUGGUGGUAAGCAAGAUGAUAGAGACACAAGUGGCCAGUUGAUCACUGAAGAUACAAACAAGGGCACUGGAUUCCUUGAUAUUGAAACUGAUACAAAUCCCAUAGAUCGAUCUAUAGCACACCUCUUGUUUCAUAGGCCCUCAGACCCAUCUCUGAUACCUCUUAAUGACGCACUAUCUCUGAAGUCUCACACCAUGGUAAAUCAAUGGUGUUGGAAUUUAUCCUAAUUGUGCACGUUUUGUUAUGCCAACUAGCUUGGGACCAAGGUUUGAUGUAAUUGAGUCGGAGCAUAAAUUUAUGGAUGCCACAUGAUCAUGUCCAAUUCCUUCCUUAGAUUGUGGUUUCAGACAGAACUGUUUCAGGACCUUAUGAAUCAAGUUCGCACGCCGCUUUAAAUGGGCGAACAGCUCACUCUUGGAACAUAUUACAGUCCCAGGUGGCGAAAGGCCAGCUCACUCUUGGAACAUAUUACAGUCCCAGGUGGCGAAAGGCCCAUAUCGAAGUGGCAAACCUUAUGUCAGAUGUGAGCUUUUGAGGAAGAUCAAAAAAAUAAGUAAUUUUUAUCCAUCGAGUGAUGGCACUAAGCCGACUUUCACCUCUGCUAGACAGGUUGUAAUCAAGCUCCCUUCCGCUUUUGCAGUCGAGGGCCAAGAGUCUUGCAAUCAAGCUUCCUUCUGAUUUUGCACUCGAAGGUCAGUCUUGAUCUAAGCAGAAAACCUUUGCACCCCUUCAUUACUUUUUGAGGUGCUAUGCAACGUGGAAAUUGUCUAUUUGGUGAUUUACCUAUGCAACGUGGAAAUUGUCUAUUUGGUGAUUUACGAUAACAUAUACCUUGAUUUAAUUGUUUGAAAAUUAUUCAGGGAAGCUAUAAUUUUAAUGUG
This is an RNA transcript of Ricinus communis (castor bean), 2943 nucleotides long. It is a transcript of the gene named protein LNK1, with no coding region annotated. The transcript is spliced from 9 exons. Lineage: Eukaryota; Viridiplantae; Streptophyta; Magnoliopsida; Malpighiales; Euphorbiaceae. The record is from RefSeq and is a predicted model, not a curated record.